UAGAGAGAGACCUUGAUGGGUUGUCAUGAACUCUCAGAUGGAGCCCUACCCUGGCACGCAGCCACCACGGGAUAUUGGAUGAGCCACUCCACCUGCUUUCUUCUGAGGUCUCCAUGUCUGCAAUGUAGCUGCACCUGGAACUUGGAUUUCCAGUCUCUGGAGUGAAUGGAAUGAGAGAGGAAAGGGUGGCGAGAGCAGAAUCUUCCAGGCAGGGAAGGAAGUACUGGCCUGUGAUAUCUCACCACACUGGACAACUACAUGGAAGAGAUUUAUGUAUGUGUGUGUGAGGAGAGGAGGACCAAAGGGAAAAGUCACCCUUGCUGAAGGUCAAGCUGGACUGAAGGAAUUUCCCUUUGGGCUGAGGUGACUCCAUGACUCACUUAUGUGACUGUAUCAUUUGCCCUUGGUCUGAUAAUCCAUGUUGGUUUUCCUUUCCUGUUGGUAAACAUUAGCUUGAUCAUCACCUGAGUUUCUUAGAAGUGAGGAGGCUUCAGCCUCCAAGGCUUUUCUCUAGAUGUUUCCUGCUUCCUUAAACCUCCAGCGGUGGAAGCAUAUACCAUGACCUCGGAGGUCACAGCUGGCCUUCAAGUCACACCUGUGACUUUAAGGCUUGCAGUUGCAACUGUUAUAUGGAAUUCUAUGCCACGGAGACAAUGCAUUUUGCAUAUUUAUUCAUCUAGUGAUGCUCCUGGUCUUCGAGUGUGUAACUAUACUUAGCAUUCAGCUGUCCACAACUCGGAAGACAAACCUGAAUACACCUUUGCCCUGAACUUGGACUUCCAGCCUCUAGAGUUGUAAGAAAUAAAUUUCUGGUGUGUGUGUGUGUGUGUGUGUGUGUGUGUGUGUGUGUGUGUGUGUGUGUACAAUGGGUGCAAGUUCAUAUGCAUUAAUGUGAGUCCAGAGAUCAACCUUGGAUGUUUUUCCUCAGAUACUGUCUAUCUUGUAUUUUUUUUCUUGAGACAAGGUGGCCUAGAACCCACCAAGUAAGUGGGCCAAUGAGCAUCAGCACCUACCUGUUUCCACCUCCCCAGUGAUAGGAUUACAAAUGUGCCACCAUACCCAGCCCUUUAGGAACAUGGGUUCUGGAAAUGGAACGCAGAACCUCGUGCUUUUAAGGAAUCUACCGAUGCAGCUCAUCCCUUCAGGCCCAGCUUAAACACCACUGUAUCCAUUUGCCAAGAAAUCACCACAUGUGGAUAUGAUGAAGUUUCUCCAAGUUGUUUGAAAUCUUAGACCUUUAAUGUCAUGUGACAGUCCCAUGAAGGUUUUUAUAAAGGAUCAGCCGCUUUUCCAUCUUCUUUAGACCAUAAAUUGAUGCCUUCAUUCAAGAACAGAAUAUUCUAGAUUUGGGUGAUUCACAACAAAAAAGAGUAAGCCUUGAAUGCCAAAAUACCUGAUUUCUUUCACACCAUGCCGCUUUCUUGAGAAAGAGAGGAUUUGGUCUUUUACUAUAGAGGUACUGUCAAUCAUGGCCAAUGAAAUCGCUUUAAAGUUGUUCAUCAUGUGCCUGCUCUCCCCGCAGGAAUUCACACAAAUGGAAGAGGGCUGUGAUUUUGUCCUUCUGUAUUGCUUGACUGAAGAAUCUUUGUUAAUAGGCAAGCCCGCUCUGAACAGCAGAGGGCACUUAUGUACACAAUACGGAAGGUUGCCUGCUUUUGACAAGCAACUGAGCAGGUGUGUGGGCUCCAUGCCAUCACCCGUGAGCCCUGGCAGGGAUGAAUUUGAUGGGUGUAAUCACUGUUCUCAAGAACGCUGUCAUUCAUGCCUUUUAAUGUUUAAAACCCGGCUUCUCAAACUGCGGCUUAGGGAGCCGUAUGGGACCAGGUAACUCAGUGUGAGGGUUGUUAAAAAAACAUCUGGCAAUUAAUUCAAAAUUAAACACACAAUGAGUCUGAGG
Molecule: long non-coding RNA, 1897 nt
Filed under: Cricetulus griseus (Chinese hamster)
Lineage: Eukaryota; Metazoa; Chordata; Mammalia; Rodentia; Cricetidae
Description: lncRNA (ENSCGRG00015036876.1)
Source: RNAcentral